CCUACGGGAGGCUGCAGUGAGGAAUUUUGGUCAAUUUUCUUAAGCCUGCCCCCUCCCCUUCUCUUUCCUUCUUCCUUCCCUCCUUUUUUUCCCCUUCUUUUUUCCUGGAAUAACGCGCCUUACGUGUAGGGCUUUGCAUGUACCGUAUGAAUCAGGAACGGCUAAUUCCGUGCCAGCAGCCGCCGUAAUACGGAAGGUCCGGGCGUUAUCCGGAUUUAUUGGGUUUAAAGGGAGCGUAGGCCGCAUGUCAAGCGUGCUGUGAAAUGUCCGGGCUCAACCCGGGCCGUGCAGCGCGAACUGGCGUGCUUGAGUCCGCGGAAAGCAGGCGGAAUUCGUCGUGUAGCGGUGAAAUGCUUAGAUAUGACGAAGAACCCCGAUUGCGAAGGCAGCUUGCUGCAGCGGAACUGACGCUGAUGCUCGAAAGCGCGGGUAUCGAACAGGAUUAGAUACCCUUGUAGUC
Molecule: ribosomal RNA, 460 nt
Filed under: uncultured bacterium
Lineage: Bacteria
Description: partial 16S ribosomal RNA
Rfam family: Bacterial small subunit ribosomal RNA
Source: RNAcentral